RNAcentral lists this ribosomal RNA (499 nucleotides) under uncultured bacterium. RNAcentral describes it as "partial 16S ribosomal RNA". It matches the Rfam family "Bacterial small subunit ribosomal RNA", at positions 29 to 523 of the family's 1533-position model. The record is from RNAcentral.
AUUGAACGCUGGCGGCAUGCCUUACACAUGCAAGUCGAACGGCAGCACGGGAGCAAUCCUGGUGGCGAGUGGCGAACGGGUGAGUAACGUAUCGGAACGUGCCCAGUCGUGGGGGAUAACGCAGUGAAAGCUGUGCUAAUACCGCAUACGAUCUAUGGAUGAAAGCGGGGGAUCGCAAGACCUCGCGCGACUGGAGCGGCCGAUAUCAGAUGAGCUAGGUGGGGGGGUAAAGGCUCACCAAGGCGACGAUCUGUAGCUGGUCUGAGAGGACGACCAGCCACACUGGAACUGAGACACGGUCCAGACUCCUACGGGAGGCAGCAGUGGGAAUUUUGGACAAUGGGCGCAAGCCUGAUCCAGCAAUGCCGCGUGCAGGAUGAAGGCCUUCGGGUUGUAAACUGCUUUUGUACGGAGCGAAAAGGCUCUCUCUAAUACAGGGGGCUCAUGACGGUACCGUAAGAAUAAGCACCGGCUAACUACGUGCCAGCAGCCGCCGUAA